RNAcentral lists this ribosomal RNA (495 nucleotides) under uncultured bacterium. RNAcentral describes it as "partial 16S ribosomal RNA". It matches the Rfam family "Bacterial small subunit ribosomal RNA", at positions 28 to 507 of the family's 1533-position model. The record is from RNAcentral.
GACGAACGCUGGCGGCGUGCCUAAUACAUGCAAGUAGAACGCUGAAGGAGGAGCUUGCUUCUCUGGAUGAGUUGCGAACGGGUGAGUAACGCGUAGGUAACCUGCCUGGUAGCGGGGGAUAACUAUUGGAAACGAUAGCUAAUACCGCAUAAUAGCAGUUGUUGCAUGAUAACUGUUUGAAAGGUGCAAUUGCACCACUACCAGAUGGACCUGCGUUGUAUUAGCUAGUUGGUGGGGUAACGGCUCACCAAGGCGACGAUACAUAGCCGACCUGAGAGGGGGAUCGGCCACACUGGGACUGAGACACGGCCCAGACUCCUACGGGAGGCAGCAGUAGGGAAUCUUCGGCAAUGGACGGAAGUCUGACCGAGCAACGCCGCGUGAGUGAAGAAGGUUUUCGGAUCGUAAAGCUCUGUUGUAAGAGAAGAACGAGUGUGAGAGUGGAAAGUUCACACUGUGACGGUAUCUUACCAGAAAGGGACGACUAACUACGUG